UUAUUAUUAAUUUUUUCAAGUUUAGAGUUUGAUAUUAAUAUAUAUAUAUUUAAUAAU
This 57-nucleotide transfer RNA is filed under the name Ceroplastes floridensis. RNAcentral describes it as "tRNA-Leu". The record is from RNAcentral. Lineage: Eukaryota; Metazoa; Arthropoda; Insecta; Hemiptera; Coccidae.